UGAACAAGUAUUUGCUGAGCAUCUACUAUGGGGAAGAAAGUGCCCCAGGGAAACUGUUGGUUCAGAGGCCCAGACCUGUUUCACAGAUUCAAGAACAGAGACCAAGAGAAGAACAGCAUAGACCAGAACCCAGGCUUCAGCCCCCCGGCACAAGGUUCUUCCACACCACCAGGCCUCUUGCCAAAGUCCGAAGUAACUCACAUACAAACCUUCUUGCAUAAAAGCCUGAGAAGACCCCAUUCUCCCCUUCCUGUUCCAGGCUUCCUCCUGUUGAUGCAAUGCAGAGAGAAAAGGGAAGAAAAAGAGCAAGCAGAACAGUACAUCCAUCAACAAGACAUCUCCAUUGCUGCUAAGUCCAGACUCCAUAACAGGGCCAGACGAGGCCAUCUCCCCACUCUCCCCUGCGCACUCCAGCCGCCCCAGGCCUCUCCCCACCCCUCAGGCUUGAACCUGUGCAGCCUCCAGUCUGAACAUGAUCCUCCAGGAACAUCGGGUCCUCCAGGAAGCAUUCUGGGCUCUGCAUGGGUGAGGAUGUGGGUCCCACUGCUCUAACAGAGAACCGAUAACAUUGGCUGAAACAGGAGAGAACGUUUCUUUCCUCUGAUGUAAACACUCUGGCUGAGUGGUGGCUCUGCCAUGCAAAGAGGUCCUGCUCCUUGCAUCACCCCCAGGGCAGGACCCUGCA
This is a long non-coding RNA of Bubalus bubalis (water buffalo), 685 nucleotides long. RefSeq lists it as uncharacterized. NCBI's taxonomy places the organism in Eukaryota, Metazoa, Chordata, Mammalia, Artiodactyla, Bovidae. The transcript is spliced from 2 exons. The record is from RefSeq and is a predicted model, not a curated record.